AUAUAUAUAUAUAUGCAAAUGUUUCACAUUUAUAAUUAUCAGAAAGGUAAGCCCAAACUGAUCUCAGGUAUAUUUUUUUUUGUUUGUCUUUUUGUCUUUUUAGGGCCCACCCAUGGCAUAUAGAGGUUCCCAGGCUAGGGGUCCAAUCGGAGCUACAGCUGCCAGCCUACACCACAGGCACAGCAACGUGGGAUCUGGCGGCGUCUGCGACCUACACCACAGCUCCCGGCAACGCCAAAUCCUUAACCCACUGAGCGAGGCCAGGGAUUGAACCUGCAACCUCAUGGUUCCUAGUCAGAUUCGUUAACCACUGAGCCAAUGGGAACUCCCUGAUCUUGGGUAUCUUAAAGAUGCUCAAACUCAUUAAAAAUAUGAUAAAUACAAUGAAAACAAAAUAAUAAUUUACAUACAUGAGCUAAGCAAAAGGAAAUUACAGCAAAAGUUGUAAGCAAUAUGAGGAGAUGGGAAUGCUGGCAUGGUUGGUAAGAUUACAGCUAUUCUCAGCAACAUUCUGCAGAGCUUAUGAAAUUAGGUACCUGUACAAACUUCAGAAGGGACCAUCUGCACUGAGUGUGUGUAUAUGCUGAGUGUAGGUACAUGCUGAUUGUAUGUACAUCCUGUGCGUGUGUCCUGUGUCUUUGGACACCUUGAUUUAAGAGUGUGUUUGUCCCCGCCCACUCUGAGUACAUCCUUAAUGAGUAAGUCUUCAUUGGUCCUUAGCUCUGUGUCCCUCUCUGUAUGUAAGUAUGUGUACAUGCUGUGUAUGUAUACGUGCUUAUGAGCCUGGAUCCAUCCUUAAUGCCAUGUGUUCAUCCUUGCUAAGCAUGUGUGCCUGCUGAAUGGGACCCAGGAAGCUCACUUCUGCUACAGCACAGAGAAAUUCUUUCAUAGGUUCAUAAGAGGGCAUGUGAAGGUAUUCAUCACCUAGCAUAGCAGGGAGUUGGAGGCAAUCUAGUUGGAGAAUACCUAAGUAAAUGUGGAAGCUGCAGGUGGAAGCCACAAAUUAAUGGAUGCUAAUAGAAAUUGUAUUGAAGGAAUAAAGAAAGAAAUAGAGCAAUAUCGUUAAUAUAAACUCAAGACACAUACAAAGACACUAUAUUUGAAAAGAACAUAUGCAUAAGGAUAUAUCUAAAUAGUUAGAAUAGGUGCUUAGUGGGGUACAGGAAGAUGAAUGGGCAUCAGGAUCUAGGAUGAAGGAGGAAGGGAACAAACAGGAGAAGGGCCUCACAUCAGCAUGACCAUUUGCUCAUAUACACUCAGGGCCCUGCAUGGGCAGUAAGGAGGACACAGUUUGUGAUGAGCUGUGGCCCCGAUCAUGAGGCAUACAACUAACUCACCCUUUUGUAACUUACUCAAAGUGAGAACUGAAAACUAAAACUAGUAAGAGACGAUCAAACUGAAUUACAAAGCAUAGACAUUCACAAGUAGCAUAUGUUGAACCUAGAUGGCUGAGUGUAACAUUAUAAAGCUUUCUGAAGAUAUCCGAACUCAUCUUUACCAAAAAUUUUAUGAGAGGCAAUUCAGUCUAUCCUGACUAAAUACUUUAUUUUGUUUGCAUUUAGUUAGAAUGAUCUAAUCAUAAUUUCUACUCUGAUUUAAAUAUAUAUUUUUCCAAAUUGCAGUAAAUACACUUCACAAAGUCAUGUUCCUAGAUGGAAUUAAAUUACUUACCUUGGUAAUGGAGAGUCACCAGACAGAUGUAAAUGAGUUGUUAACAUGGCACUUCAUUGCCACAAUAAUUUAGAGCCACUAGUUAGCUUGAUGUGUCUGCAAUAAAUGUUUUAUUAUUUAGGAAAAAUACACUCUACAAGUUGCAAUGUGCCAUGCUCAUUCAUGCCGUAAAUCAACAAAGAUCAGCAGACUGAAUAGAAAAAUGAAAAGCUUAUUUAGAAACUGACAUAAGCUUUCAGAUGAGCAGGGAUGGUUGAAGUUAACUGCAUUCAUUUUUCUUUGCUUGUCAUAGUUGCCACUUGAAUUUCACUACUAGAGGUAGAAGAUAGUUUUGCUUUAUGAAAUUAUAUCCACAGAAACAGUGUCUGCAUUUAUAGAGAUACAGUCAUAAUAAAGUGGAAUAUAAAGAAGCCACACUAAAGGAAUAGUAGCCCCAAAUUUAUGGAGUGUGGGAUGGGAUUUGCUAAUCCACACCACUAGAUUCAGUGCAAUCGUUCUAUGGAGAUCAAAGCUCAUGUCGGAAACGUGACGUGACUUUACGUCCUGGGACAGUAGAGUAAUUGCCAGACAAGACUGUAAAACACCAUGUAGGUCAGCAUUUGUAAAGAAUCUCGUGAUUUUUUUUCCUAUUCGCUUUGUGCUCAUUUUGACAAGCUCAAAACCCCAGAAAAAUUAUUACUGCUUACACCCCCCGAAGUGCCAGCUGGGGUGAUGAGAUUAACACCGAUGACUGCACCGUGGUGCUCACCCUGAGAGCUCUCCCCUCCUCACUGAAGUAACCUAGAAAGGGCCAAUGUUGACUGCAGUUGGCAUUCUUGGUAUGCAAACAAUGAAGAGUAGACUCUUAGCUGUCUCCCGCCUUUGUGCCACAGAAGACAUUGUCCAGGGCUAUUGGAGUGGACAAGCCCCAGAUAAAUGACAUGCACCUGUCUUAGUGUUACCUUCAUCAUAACAUCAUAAUACAUCAAUUAAGUCCCUAGUUCUCACACAUUGCUUUAUAAAACACAUACAUGUAGUGACCCUUCUCUUUUUAAAGCCUCAGAGGAUUAGGCUAACCUGCUAACUGCCACGUUGAAAUGAACUCUUCUUGGAGGUAGAUUGUAGCAGAUGUGAGGACCUGGAGCCUACGUUGAAAAGAAAAAAAAAAGGAGCUUUAAUAUUGAUUUAUUUAUGAUGAUGAAAAGGAAUCAGAAUCCCUGGAAGGAAACAUUUAGGUUAUAAGGAAAACGUAGCUAGAUGGGAAGCACACAUGGGCAGUUCAGGCUGUAUGGUAAGGUCACGGAGUUCACAGGAGGCUCUUGUGGAAACCCAGGGAAAGACUCCAGAGAUGGAGGCGAGGUGUGAGAGGCCACGAGGAAACCCUGAUGAUAAGAGAAUUCAGCAGCAGAGCGGGACCUGUAUUGAGGGUGGGGCAGCGGUGGUCAGAGUUGUACUUUAUAUGUGGUGAAAUGCACAGGUCUUUAAAGUAUGUAGUUCAACAAACGUAGACAAAUACACAAGUCCAUAUAAAUGACACCUCUAGUAAAAUCUAGAACAUUUCCAUUAUCAUAGGAAGUUGUCUGUACUUUCCAAACAAAAUCAUUCCCUACCAAUAUUUGACUUUCCAUUACCAAGAGUUACUUUUGUAUGUUUUUGAAUUUGUAUCGCUAAAGUCAUACAUUAUACAAUUAUGCAUGUUCAUGUCCAGCUUCUUUAACUCAACAUUUUUUGUUGUUGUUGUUGCUGCACCGGGGGCAUGUGGAGGUUCCUGGCCCAAAGCUGCUGCAGUGACAAUGCCAGAUCCUUAACCCACUGCACCACAAGAGAACUCCUUCACUCAACAUUUUUGAGAUUCAUUUCUGCUAUUGGCCACAUCAAAAAUCCAUUCCUUUGUAUCCUGGAGAAAUGUUCUAUAUAAUAUAUGCACAUACCAUAAUUUGCUUACUCCUUCUCUAAUUGGUGAAUACUUGAGUUAUUUCUAUUUGGAAAGAGGGGGCUCUUAUGAAUAAAACUGCUAUGAGCAUUCUUAUAUAAUUCUUUUUGUGGACACAUGUUUUUAUUUCUCUUGGAUAAAUACCUAGGACUGAAACUGAUGGACAAGUAUAUAUGUUUAACUUUACCUGCCAAAUUAUGUUCCUAAUUGGAUGCACCAUUUAUGUCUCCACCAGCAAUGUAUGAGAGUUCUGGUUGCUUUAAAUCCUCACCAUCAUUUAGUAUUGCUAGUUAAAGUUAUACAUUUUAACCUAAAGACAAGACAAUUUGAGAGAGAAAGCAUUCAAAAUUAAAGCUGUGCACAAACAUUCACAUUGCACUGGUAGGAGUCAAAGCAUUAUUACAAGGUAUAAAUGUAGAGCCAUGCCCUCCAAAAUUAGUAUUCAUCAUACAACAAAAUGAAUUUCAUUGGCAUUCAUCCUUCCUUCCUUUGAUAAAUCAGUGUAUAUAUUCCCAUUACCUCAAUGAAAUAUCAUGAAUUGAUUUUAGCUUGCUAAAAUGAGUAUUACCUCGUAGAAUGCUGAUACUAUAAGUGCCUCUGGAAUUAAUAUUGAGCCUAGAAAUACCCAUCAUUGUCUCCAUAUUUGUUGUGCUCAAUGUCUUAGAUUUUGCAAGUCUGGAGACCUGGAAAAUGAAGAGACAAGCAUCUCCUCAAUGUGGAAUGAUUAUGAAAGAAUUUACCCUUGUUGCACUCGAGCUUUCCUUUUUGAGACUGGAUAGGAUGUUAAAGAAGGGAGGGGAGAGGAAGAGAGGGGGUGAGGAGAGAAAGAGAGAAAGAGGGAUGGAGAUUAAUCUGGGAUUCAUGGCACUCUAGGGAAUCUAUGUGGGGCAGCUUGCACCUUGCUUCUUUCUGGAUGGGUCUGCGAAGAAAGGCUUGGCUUGAUCUCUGCAAUUAACUGCGCUGGCUGAGUGAGUCCAGCUGCUGUGAACCUCUGCUACUGGAAACAGCUCUUGAGUGUGUAACCAGCAGGCAUAACUUUAUUACUUCGUAUGAUUUUAGUAAAACAUUCUUUGCAAAGCAUUUUUUAUGAACAGAAUAGACUUAACUCCGGCAGCCCAAGGUGGAUGAAGCUGUUGAUACUUAUUAGGAAGAAGAAAAAGCAUUGAGUUCUCUCUCCACUUUGAUAAUAAAAGACAGUCGUCCUGCCACAACGAUUUUGUGGCAAUAAAGUUGAAUGCCUAAAUGUACAUUGGAGAGCACUCUCAGGUAGGGUUUAUGAACCAUGACUAACCUUGUCUCUGUGCCUUUUAGCACAUCUUCCCAGAAUGACCCAAUGUGCAUGCCGCCCCAGCUUAAUCUGGAAUUAACCUUCACGAUGCCACUUCCUGUGUGGCGCCUGCCUCUGAGUGGUGUCGUUGUCACACAGUGAUUUGGUUCACUAGUUCACGGUGUUGAUUUGGACAAGUUACCACUAAUGUGUCUAUGCUUCCGUAUCCUCCACUGUGAAGGAGAAAUGACCCCGUUAACAGCAUGCUUCCCUGAAGUGCUGUGAUGGACAGCCAAUACAAUUAUUGUGGAGGAGCAUUUUACCUGAU
Molecule: long non-coding RNA, 5178 nt
Filed under: Sus scrofa (pig)
Lineage: Eukaryota; Metazoa; Chordata; Mammalia; Artiodactyla; Suidae
Description: lncRNA (ENSSSCG00000059304.1)
Source: RNAcentral